Molecule: non-coding RNA, 2246 nt
Organism: Meleagris gallopavo (turkey)
Lineage: Eukaryota; Metazoa; Chordata; Aves; Galliformes; Phasianidae
Source: RefSeq, a predicted model, not a curated record
GGAAAAUAAGUAUGAUUUAUUAAUGGGCUUGCUGAAAGGCAGCUGGAAAUACAUGCCUGACUGCCACCCUGCUGAGAUACUGGAAAGGCUGUGUUUAAUUUAAGGCUCUUGUGCUAUCUUUUAUUGUACUGCAUUGUUAUUAGCACUGUGUGAGCACACAAAUGAAUAAAAGGAAUAUAAUGAGUGUUGAACCACACUUAUUCCCUGUUCUACAUGAGGAGUCUAUAGUACUAUAAUGGAGGCAUGCAGAGAAUAGGGAGUCAGCAACCACAUGCUUUGCAUUUAUGCUGCAGCUUCCCAGUUAACAUAAACUACUGCAAGACUCUGAAAGAGCAAGACCCCUUAUUUUGACACUGGGGUUCAAGAUAAGCCAUUUCUUACCACAUAAGUCACUGACACACUUUGAGAGAUCCUCUCUGAGGACAGGGAAAGCACUGAAUCUACACUUCCUGAGAGGGAAGUAUCUGACAGCAGUCCUUGGUUAUUCUACUUGAGAGACACCUCCAGCCUCUAUCUAGGUGAGAAAGCUGCUGACACUCCAGCACUAGGGGCCAAAGGCUAAAGCCUGACCCCACCAGACCUGGGGGAGGAUCUCUCAAGUUUGUACAUUAUCAGCUUUUCACUGAGAUUACACUGUGUGCUGUAUGUAUUACACGGUUAAUCAUUUAAAUGGAUAUAGACUUCCUCAAUCUGCAGAAGGUUUUCAAAAAUGUGAGGGAUUAAUAAACAGCAUGCAAAGGGCAAGUUACGCUGCUCAAAACUCAAGUGCUCACAGUGCAGAAACUAUGCCUUGAAUCCUAAGUAGUUCAUGCUAGAUCUUUAUCACCUCUAACUGCUUGCUGUUCAGUCCAGCAUACUCAACAAGAUUUCUUAAGGAUUUUCAACCCAGGCAGUCUCCUACUCUGACAUCAUGUUUUGUGACUAUUCACUGACCUUUAAAUUGGCAGGUAAUUGCAUGUUCACUGAGCCAAAAGCCUGAAAUUCAUUCUCUCUGACAUGAUACCUCAGUCCACCCUUCCUUCUCUCCCUUCCCCUUCUUAUUUUUGUAAUUAAACAUCUGAAAAUACUGCUUGUUGGGUGGUAUUUCCAGCUUCAGUCAUUGCUGGCUCCAGCAUAGGAAAACUCCUCCUCUUGAACGCACAUCAUCUGGGCUCUUCUGUUGUGAACUAUUUUCUGUACUGCUUGGAUAUUUCAAUGAUAUUUUUAUUUGUAUUGUGAAUGGCUGUGCAAAAACUCAAUUGAUACAGCCUGUGUGAAUAUGUUUUGCUACAUAAACACAAUUAUUUUUGUUAUAUACACACACCCUCUGUAAGAAAUGACAUUGUAGGCUCACAAAACUGUAAUGCUUCCCAUAUGCUGAACUAGCUAGCUGUCUCAAUGGAUCAAAUAUAAAUAUUGAUGCAACAUGUGCCAUUUUACAAAUUAAUCAUGUACAGAGCAUGGUGGUUAUGACAGAUUCAUCUGCACUGCCAACUUUUUGUCCAGAGUAUCCAGUGUCCAUUGAUACCUCAAGGGAUGGACUACAUGAAACAGGAAUGUACAUAUCUGAGCAACUGAUAUUCAGAUUUCACAGUUCAUCUGAAUGGACGCCUCAAACCUGAAUCUACCUCCCCUCUGCCCUGGUUUGUACAAAUAUCAACAGGCUGCAAAUACCAGAGGAUUUUACAUCAACUACUCGCUCUUUAAAAGCGGCAUCUAUCACGUCAGUUCUGAAUGAGAAAAUAAUAUGUAUUUAGCAGUGUAUGAUAUAUACAGUCUCCUUUCUGUUCAAUUCUUGACUGCAAAAGCUACAAGAACAAAGUCAAGUCUCCAAGGUACUUAACAAUUAAUUGGCUAUUAUAUGGCUGCAUGAGAUAACAUAGAAGAAAAAGAGUGGGAAAGCAGCAUGGUUUUUCAUAUUCCACUGUAAAGAACAUGAAAAACUAGCAAAAUAGAAGAUAGCAUUUUGUUGCUGUCACCUACUCACUAAACUCUCAGCAGUCUUUCUACGAUUACACUGGUAUAGAUAUAGGAACUGAGAAAAAAGCAAUUAUACAGUAGGUAUCUGUAGCUCAAAUAAUCCCUUCCUAGACUUUGUGAGCAAUACCAAACGAUUUAUCGAAGUACAGCACAGAGCCAAGCUGUAUGAAGACAAGCUACUCAGUCUGGAACAUCUUGUACCACAGUUUAUAAUGCAGGAAUAUGAAUAAUACAUGGAAAAUCAUCAGAUGAGGAGGCAAAGCCAGAACUGCAUGCAUCAAUCAAAU